AAUGGAAUGCCUGAUUAAAGGAUUAUCAUGAUAGGAUAAAUAAUGUAAAUUUUACUUCCAUUA
Molecule: transfer RNA, 63 nt
Filed under: Cryptocercus hirtus
Lineage: Eukaryota; Metazoa; Arthropoda; Insecta; Blattodea; Cryptocercidae
Description: tRNA-Ile
Source: RNAcentral